CUCAGAUUGAACGCUGGCGGCAUGCCUUACACAUGCAAGGUCGAACGGCAGCAUGGGUGCUUGCACCUGAUGGCGAGUGGCGAACGGGUGAGUAAUACAUCGGAACGUACCCGGAAGUGGGGGAUAACGUAGCGAAAGUUACGCUAAUACCGCAUAUUCUGUGAGCAGGAAUGAGGGGGAUCGCAAGACCUCUCGCUUUCGGAGCGGCCGAUGUCGGAUUAGCUAGUUGGCGGGUAAAGGCCCACCAAGGCAACGAUCCGUAGCGGGUCUGAGAGGAUGAUCCGCCACACUGGGACUGAGACACGGCCCAGACUCCUACGGGAGGCAGCAGUGGGGAAUUUUGGACAAUGGGCGCAAGCCUGAUCCAGCCAUGCCGCGUGAGUGAAGAAGGCCUUCGGGUUGUAAAGCUCUUUCAGCCGGGAAGAAAUCGCAUCUCCUAAUACGGGGUGUGGAUGACGGUACCGGAAUAAGAAGCACCGGCUAACUACGUG
This 491-nucleotide ribosomal RNA is filed under the name uncultured bacterium. Its description in RNAcentral is "bacterial SSU rRNA". It matches the Rfam family "Bacterial small subunit ribosomal RNA", at positions 23 to 507 of the family's 1533-position model. The record is from RNAcentral.